This 465-nucleotide ribosomal RNA is filed under the name uncultured bacterium. RNAcentral describes it as "partial 16S ribosomal RNA". It matches the Rfam family "Bacterial small subunit ribosomal RNA", at positions 28 to 507 of the family's 1533-position model. The record is from RNAcentral.
GACGAACGCUGGCGGCGUGCUUAACACAUGCCAGUCGAACGGAAAGGCCCUGCUUGCAGGGUACUCGAGUGGCGAACGGGUGUGUAACACGUGGGUGAUCUGCCCUGCACUUCGGGAUAAGCCUGGGAAACUGGGUCUAAUACCGGAUAGGAGCCAUUUUUAGUGUGAUGGUUGGAAAGUUUUUUCGGUGUAGGAUGAGCUCGCGGCCUAUCAGCUUGUUGGUGGGGUAAUGGCCUACCAAGGCGGCGACGGGUAGCCGGACUGAGAGGGUGGACGGCCACAUUGGGACUGAGAUACGGCCCAGACUCCUACGGGAGGCAGCAGUGGGGAAGAUUGCACAAUGGGCGCAAGCCGGAUGCAGCGACGCCGCGUGGGGGAUGACGGUCUUCGGGUUGAAAACUCCUUUCGCUAGGGACGAAGCUUUUUGUGACGGUACCUAGAUAAGAAGCACCGGCUAACUACGUG